AAUCUUCCACAAUGGGCGAAAGCCUGAUGGAGCAACGCCGCGUGAGUGAAGAAGGUUUUCGGAUCGUAAAACUCUGUUGUAAGGGAAGAACAAGUACAGUAGUAACUGGCUGUACCUUGACGGUACCUUAUUAGAAAGCCACGGCUAACUACGUGCCAGCAGCCGCGGUAAUACGUAGGUGGCAAGCGUUGUCCGGAAUUAUUGGGCGUAAAGCGGGGGAAGGGGGUCCUUUAAGUCUGAUGUGAAAGCCCACGGGUCAAACGGGGAAGGUCAUUGGAAACUGGGGGACUUGAGUGCAGAAGAGGAAAGUGGAAUUCCAAGUGUAGCGGUGAAAUGCGUAGAGAUUUGGAGGAACACCAGUGGCGAAGGCGGCUUGCUGGACAUUAACUGACGCUGAGGCGCGAAAGCGUGGGGAGCAAACA
This 422-nucleotide ribosomal RNA is filed under the name uncultured bacterium. RNAcentral's name for it is "partial 16S ribosomal RNA". It matches the Rfam family "Bacterial small subunit ribosomal RNA", at positions 360 to 774 of the family's 1533-position model. The record is from RNAcentral.